This 540-nucleotide ribosomal RNA is filed under the name Escherichia coli. RNAcentral's name for it is "partial 23S ribosomal RNA". It matches the Rfam family "Bacterial large subunit ribosomal RNA", at positions 732 to 1268 of the family's 2925-position model. The record is from RNAcentral. Lineage: Bacteria; Pseudomonadati; Pseudomonadota; Gammaproteobacteria; Enterobacterales; Enterobacteriaceae.
AGCCAUGGGCAGGUUGAAGGUUGGGUAACACUAACUGGAGGACCGAACCGACUAAUGUUGAAAAAUUAGCGGAUGACUUGUGGCUGGGGGUGAAAGGCCAAUCAAACCGGGAGAUAGCUGGUUCUCCCCGAAAGCUAUUUAGGUAGCGCCUCGUGAAUUCAUCUCCGGGGGUAGAGCACUGUUUCGGCAAGGGGGUCAUCCCGACUUACCAACCCGAUGCAAACUGCGAAUACCGGAGAAUGUUAUCACGGGAGACACACGGCGGGUGCUAACGUCCGUCGUGAAGAGGGAAACAACCCAGACCGCCAGCUAAGGUCCCAAAGUCAUGGUUAAGUGGGAAACGAUGUGGGAAGGCCCAGACAGCCAGGAUGUUGGCUUAGAAGCAGCCAUCAUUUAAAGAAAGCGUAAUAGCUCACUGGUCGAGUCGGCCUGCGCGGAAGAUGUAACGGGGCUAAACCAUGCACCGAAGCUGCGGCAGCGACGCUUAUGCGUUGUUGGGUAGGGGAGCGUUCUGUAAGCCUGCGAAGGUGUGCUGUGAGG